Molecule: long non-coding RNA, 705 nt
Organism: Herpailurus yagouaroundi (jaguarundi)
Lineage: Eukaryota; Metazoa; Chordata; Mammalia; Carnivora; Felidae
Exons: 3
Source: RefSeq, a predicted model, not a curated record
UGGCGGCGCGUGCGGGCCACGCCUCCUCCGGGACCGGAGGCGGGUGGCUGCGCUCGGUCGGGUGUCGCGCGUGGGGGCUAAACUGCAAGGGCUCAUGAGGUUGGGGCUGUUCCCAGGCCCAGGCGUGUUCCUGCGCGCUUCUUCUUGCUCCCUUUGCUUGGUCUUUCCUGGGUUUUUGUUGUUGUUUUUACUCAGAAGUGUAGUUUCUAAGUAAAUGAAGGCAUUACACGCCACAGAUUUGCGCAGGGGAGUCAGAUCCCCUGGCUCACCCUGAGGGAGGCUGGCCUCAGCAACAGAAAGCCAGAGCUCGGAUUCUCCCGCAGUGUGGAGCCAGUCCUCUUAGCUAGCCUUGAACAGCGUGGGAAAAGGCGGCUGUACCAAGUUGUAGAUGCCGGGCUUGAAGAGAAGAAUAGGUAUAUCUACGAAGUUAUGCUUACGAAGAUUGGAGACACCUUAGAAAGGAAGACUCAGUAAAAUUUUGUGAAACUUGGAUAAAUAGGUUGUUUGACUUAACAACAGUGGUUGGAGGAGGUCUUCGAGAGGUCAUGGCCUCCGAUCGACCUGUGAGGAGGGGCAAUUGGAGGCUCCUGACCCCCUCCCCUGUCUCGGGAAGGUGCGUUCCUUGAUUCCACUGCCACAGCGCCACAGGGACGGACGCAGGCGGCCUUCAGAAAAACCACCAGGAGGGCGUUCGUGGGGAAUGAA